Molecule: ribosomal RNA, 468 nt
Filed under: uncultured bacterium
Lineage: Bacteria
Description: partial 16S ribosomal RNA
Rfam family: Bacterial small subunit ribosomal RNA
Source: RNAcentral
GACGAACGCUGGCGGCGUGCUUAACACAUGCCAGUCGAACGGAAAGGCCCUGCUUUUGUGGGGUGCUCGAGUGGCGAACGGGUGAGUAACACGUGAGUAACCUGCCCUUGACUUUGGGAUAACUUCAGGAAACUGGGGCUAAUACCGGAUAGGAGCUCCUGCUGCAUGGUGGGGGUUGGAAAGUUUCGGCGGUUGGGGAUGGACUCGCGGCUUAUCAGCUUGUUGGUGGGGUAGUGGCUUACCAAGGCUUUGACGGGUAGCCGGCCUGAGAGGGUGACCGGCCACAUUGGGACUGAGAUACGGCCCAGACUCCUACGGGAGGCAGCAGUGGGGAAUAUUGCACAAUGGGCGGAAGCCUGAUGCAGCAACGCCGCGUGCGGGAUGACGGCCUUCGGGUUGUAAACCGCUUUCGCCUGUGACGAAGCGUGAGUGACGGUAAUGGGUAAAGAAGCACCGGCUAACUUCGUG